GGGGGUGUAGCUCAGUGGCAGAGCGCGUGCUUAGCAUGCACGAGGCCCUGGGUUCGAUCCCCAGCACCUCCA
Molecule: transfer RNA, 72 nt
Filed under: Cavia porcellus (domestic guinea pig)
Lineage: Eukaryota; Metazoa; Chordata; Mammalia; Rodentia; Caviidae
Description: tRNA-Ala (AGC) (tRNA-Ala-AGC-4-1)
Rfam family: tRNA
About the family: Transfer RNA (tRNA) molecules are approximately 80 nucleotides in length. Their secondary structure includes four short double-helical elements and three loops (D, anti-codon, and T loops). Further hydrogen bonds mediate the characteristic L-shaped molecular structure. tRNAs have two regions of fundamental functional importance: the anti-codon, which is responsible for specific mRNA codon recognition, and the 3' end, to which the tRNAs corresponding amino acid is attached (by aminoacyl-tRNA synthetases). tRNAs cope with the degeneracy of the genetic code in two manners: having more than one tRNA (with a specific anti-codon) for a particular amino acid; and 'wobble' base-pairing, i.e. permitting non-standard base-pairing at the 3rd anti-codon position.
Source: Rfam by way of RNAcentral